Molecule: ribosomal RNA, 119 nt
Filed under: Epipterygium orbifolium
Lineage: Eukaryota; Viridiplantae; Streptophyta; Bryopsida; Bryales; Mniaceae
Description: partial 5.8S ribosomal RNA
Rfam family: 5.8S ribosomal RNA
About the family: 5.8S ribosomal RNA (5.8S rRNA) is a component of the large subunit of the eukaryotic ribosome. It is transcribed by RNA polymerase I as part of the 45S precursor that also contains 18S and 28S rRNA. Functionally, it is thought that 5.8S rRNA may be involved in ribosome translocation.
Source: RNAcentral
CGAUGAAGAACGCAGCGAAAUGCGAUACGUAGUGUGAAUUGCAGAAUUCCGCGAAUCAUCGAGUCUUUGAACGCAAGUUGCGCCCGAGGCUUGUCCAAGGGCAUUUCCGCUAGAGCGUC